This 21-nucleotide small RNA is filed under the name Arabidopsis thaliana (thale cress). RNAcentral's name for it is "ATSL226400". Lineage: Eukaryota; Viridiplantae; Streptophyta; Magnoliopsida; Brassicales; Brassicaceae. The record is from RNAcentral.
GUUAUACCUCUCCGCUUCUAA